UGAGUAACGCGUGGGUAACCUGCCCUAAAGCCCGGGAUAACACCGGGAAACUGGUGCUAACACCGGAUACCUUCCGAAGAGGGCAUCCUUUUUGGAAGAAAGGUUAACGCUUUAGGAUGGGCCCGCGUCCCAUUAGCUAGUUGGUGAGGUAACGGCUCACCAAGGCAGUGAUGGGUAGCCGGCCUGAGAGGGUGGACGGCCACACUGGGACUGAGACACGGCCCAGACUCCUACGGGAGGCAGCAGUAGGGAAUAUUGCGCAAUGGGCGAAAGCCUGACGCAGCGACGCCGCGUGGGUGAUGAAGGCCUUCGGGUUGUAAAACCCUGUCCUUGGGGAAGAAGGAAGUGACGGUACCCAAGGAGGAAGCCCCGGCUAACUACGUGCCAGCAGCCGCGGUAAAACGUAGGGGGCGAGCGUCGUCCGGAAUUACUGGGCGUAAAGGGUGCGUAGGCGGCCUUUUAAGUCAGAUGUGAA
RNAcentral lists this ribosomal RNA (475 nucleotides) under uncultured bacterium. Its description in RNAcentral is "bacterial SSU rRNA". It matches the Rfam family "Bacterial small subunit ribosomal RNA", at positions 107 to 598 of the family's 1533-position model. The record is from RNAcentral.